CUUGCUAUUUCAUAUCAUAAUAUGAUCUCUUCCUUUUUCUGUGUUCUCGUGAUUACAUGAGCUAGAAAUUCCGUACACUAUAUUUCACAAGCUUUACAGAAACAGUCAGCCUUCAUUACUUGAUCAAAUCAUUGGUGUAGCCCUUUCUGGGUGAUAUUUAAUUUAUACAUGGAGAACUUGGGAGAUUGGGAGCAAAAGAAUCUUCUAAACGAGCUAACGCUAGGGAGAGAGCUAGCAAGGCAGCUCCAAAUCCAUCUCAACGUGCCAUCUUCUUCCCGAGAAACCCGUGAAAUGUUGGUCCAGAAGAUCAUAGCUUCCUAUGAAAAGGCACUUUCGACGCUAAAUUUGAGCAGCUCAAUAAGAGAGCCAAAUCCCACAGGAUCGGUCGCCAUGUCUCAUGAGUCGCCGCCAUCUCUAAGUGGAAGUCCCCGGAGUGAAGACUCUGACCGGGACUUCAAGGACCACGACCCUAAAGAUGGGUCUAGGAAGAGGAAGGGAACGCCAAGGUGGACACAACAAGUGCGAGUUAGCCCAGGGAUGGGGCUAGAAGGGCCUCUUGAUGAUGGCUUUAGCUGGAGAAAGUAUGGCCAGAAAGACAUACUUGGAGCUAAAUAUCCAAGGGGCUACUAUAGAUGCACUCAUCGAAUUGUCCAAGGCUGUUUAGCAACAAAGCAAGUACAACGAUCCGAUGAGGACCCUACCAUCUUCGAGAUUACCUACCGUGGAAGGCACACUUGUACCCAAGCCACCCAUAUGUUCCCUCCUACCCAGCCCACUCGAGAAUCAAGAGCCAAACAGUGGCAUGGAGCAGCCCCAGCAACCCCAGGGAAAUCAACAACCACCGCAAGAUCUCCUCUUGAACUUUCGUUCGGGCCUUAAAGUCAUAACCGAAGGAUUGGACUCGCGCGAGCGAUCAGUUGCUCCCUCCCACUUUCCUUCUACAUCAAAUGUUACGGCUGAAAAUCAAGUGUUUUCACCUUCUAUGGUGGAUAAGAGCUUCAUGGGGAAUUAUUCUACAUCCUUCGUAUCUCCUUCGACGUCUGGGACAAACUACUUCUCUGCUACUUCAAGCGGAAUACAGCAUUACGUGGGUGGGAAUCAGAAUUUUCGGACUUCUGAGUUUGAGCUGACUGACUUAAUCUCUGCUACCACUACUUCAACUACAGACUCUACCACUGUUGGUUUGGAUUUCCCAUUUGGCAAUGUAGAAUUUGAUCCAAACUUCACAUUUGACAACUCAGGAUUCCUUCCCUAGUUGCAUGCACAGCUUCAGAAUCAAAUAAAGUGAAGAAAGCAGAAGCAUCACUUUGUCCUUACUAAAGAUAUAGAUAAGUUAAAUUUUUAGGCCAAGAAAAUUUUGCUUGGUCUUUUAAAUCUUUCCAUGUUAACCCCUUAAAGAAAUUAAUCGUCAAUGGGUGCCAGUUAUAGUACUUGUAUUUGUUUUCGUCCCUUAUGUACGUGAAUGGUGAAGGUCCUAUACAAAGAGUGUC
Molecule: unclassified non-coding RNA, 1490 nt
Filed under: Hevea brasiliensis (rubber tree)
Lineage: Eukaryota; Viridiplantae; Streptophyta; Magnoliopsida; Malpighiales; Euphorbiaceae
Source: RNAcentral